ACACGGAGGGCGCAAGCGUUGCUCGGAAUCACUGGGCGUAAAGCGGGUGUAGGCGGACUAGCAAGUCAGAUGAGAAAGCCCACGGCUCAACCGUGGAAGUGCAUCUGAAACUGCUAGACUUGAGUGCCGGAGAGGGAAGUGGAAUUCCUGGUGUAGGGGUGAAAUCCGUAGAUAUCAGGAGGAACACCGGUGGCGAAGGCGACUUCCUGGACGGCCACUGACGCUGAGACCCGAAAGCGUGGGGAGCAAACAGGAUUAGAAACCCUAGUAGUCC
Molecule: ribosomal RNA, 274 nt
Filed under: uncultured bacterium
Lineage: Bacteria
Description: partial 16S ribosomal RNA
Rfam family: Bacterial small subunit ribosomal RNA
Source: RNAcentral